AAAUGGAUUUCUGCUGGGGAGUCUUCUUGGCUAUUCUAGAAAUGCUUUCUUACAGCUGGGAAACUGUUCUAAAUAGCUUUUGGUAAUACUUAUUCAUCCUGGAGAUUCAGAUGGAAGUUUUUCUUCAUCAUAGACCCUAAAUUUUAUGUCCAAAUUAUGAUAAGUCUUUAACAUUGGUUAUGGUGCUUUUAUUUUCUUAAUUUGAAGGCAUCUUCCUGAGGUCCCAGAGUCUUCAAAUUUCCUAGAUUAAGAAAAUAGUAUGUAGCCUUUUAACCAUAUGUACACAAAACACCCCUGAAAAUUAGGAGAUGACUUGACUUUCUCUUUCACUGCAUUUCAUUUGAAACGCCAGGAAAGAGUAUAGAUAUGGUGUUCAGCAGCACUUGAGCCAUUUUUUAAAAUUUUUGUUGAUAAAGUAAAAUUUUAUUUUAUGCUAUAUAUUAACAUUUCAGCAUAUAAUAAAC
Molecule: long non-coding RNA, 464 nt
Filed under: Bos taurus (domestic cattle)
Lineage: Eukaryota; Metazoa; Chordata; Mammalia; Artiodactyla; Bovidae
Description: long non-coding RNA NONBTAT007073
Source: RNAcentral